UACGGGGGGGGCAAGCGUUGUUCGGAAUUACUGGGCGUAAAGGGCUCGUAGGUGGCCAACUAAGUCAGACGUGAAAUCCCUGGGCUCAACCCAGGAACUGCGUCCGAUACUGGUUGGCUUGAAUCCGGGAGAGGGAUGUGGAAUUCCAGGUGUAGCGGUGAAAUGCGUAGAUAUCUGGAGGAACACCGGUGGCGAAGGCGGCAUCCUGGACCGGUAUUGACGCUGAGGCGCGAAAGCCGGGGGAGCAAACGGG
This 253-nucleotide ribosomal RNA is filed under the name uncultured bacterium. RNAcentral describes it as "partial 16S ribosomal RNA". It matches the Rfam family "Bacterial small subunit ribosomal RNA", at positions 524 to 776 of the family's 1533-position model. The record is from RNAcentral.